UACGUAGGGUGCAAGCGUUGUCCGGAAUUAUUGGGCGUAAAGAGCUCGUAGGCGGCUUGUCGCGUCGGCUGUGAAAACCUGGGGCUCAACCCCGGGCCUGCAGCCGAUACGGGCAAGCUAGAAUUCGGUAGGGGAGACUGGAAUUCCUGGUGUAGCGGUGAAAUGCGCAGAUAUCAGGAAGAACACCCGUAGCGAAGGCGGCUCUCUGGGACGGUACUGACGCUGGGACGCGAAAGCGUGGGGAGCGAACAGG
RNAcentral lists this ribosomal RNA (253 nucleotides) under uncultured bacterium. RNAcentral describes it as "partial 16S ribosomal RNA". It matches the Rfam family "Bacterial small subunit ribosomal RNA", at positions 524 to 776 of the family's 1533-position model. The record is from RNAcentral.